AGCGAACGCUGGCGGCGUGCCUAACACAUGCAAGUCGAACGUGAACGGGGGCAACCCUUAGUAAAGUGGCGUACGGGUGAGUAACACGUAGGUAAUCUACCCUAGAAUCUGGAAUAACCUGCCGAAAGGCGGGCUAAUACUGGAUAGAGCGACGGAACUCGUAAUGAGUUUUUCGGGAAAGGGAGCUCGCAAGAGCCUUCGUUCUAGGAUGAGCCUGCGUCCCAUUAGUUAGUUGGCAGGGUAAUGGCCUACCAAGACUAUGAUGGGUAGCUGGUCU
This 277-nucleotide ribosomal RNA is filed under the name uncultured bacterium. Its description in RNAcentral is "partial 16S ribosomal RNA". It matches the Rfam family "Bacterial small subunit ribosomal RNA", at positions 29 to 293 of the family's 1533-position model. The record is from RNAcentral.